This 460-nucleotide ribosomal RNA is filed under the name uncultured bacterium. RNAcentral's name for it is "partial 16S ribosomal RNA". It matches the Rfam family "Bacterial small subunit ribosomal RNA", at positions 338 to 795 of the family's 1533-position model. The record is from RNAcentral.
CCUACGGGAGACUGCAGUGAGGAAUAUUGGUCAAUGGCCGGAAGGCUGAACCAGCCAUGCCGCGUGAAGGUCAGUGCCCUAUGGGCGUUAAACUUCUUUUGUGCGGGAGCAAUAAUGGUCACGUGUGGCCAGACGAGAGUACCGUACGAAUAAGCAUCGGCUAACUCCGUGCCAGCAGCCGCGGUAAUACGGGGGAUGCAAGCGUUAUCCGGAUUUUUUGGGUUUAAAGGGUGCGUAGGCUGGGAGGUAAGUCAGCGGUGAAAUGCCCCCGCUCAACGGGGUGAAGUGCCAUUGAUACUGGCUUGCUGGAAUGCGGAUGCGGUGGGAGGAAUGUGUGGUGUAGCGGUGAAAUGCAUAGAUAUCACGCAGAACACCGAUUGCGAAGGCAUCUCACGAAUCCGCGAUUGACGCUGAUGCACGAAAGCGUGGGUAUCAAACAGGAUUAGAUACCCCGGUAGUC